AAACUGGAGAGUUUGAUCCUGGCUCAGAUUGAACGCUGGCGGUAGGCCUAACACAUGCAAGUCGAACGGCAGCAGACCGUGACAAUCCCUUCGGGGUGCGUUUGGUGCUGGCGAGUGGCGGACGGGUGAGUAACACGUAGGAAUCUGCCAAACAGUGGGGGACAACCCGGAGAAAUCCGGGCUAAUACCGCAUACGCCCUACGGGGGAAAGCGGGGGACCUUCGGGCCUCGCGCUGUUUGAGGAGCCUGCGUCGGAUUAGCUUGUUGGUGAGGUAAAGGCUCACCAAGGCAACGAUCCGUAGCUGGUCUGAGAGGAUGAUCAGCCACACUGGGACUGAGACACGGCCCAGACUCCUACGGGAGGCAGCAGUGGGGAAUAUUGCAC
Molecule: ribosomal RNA, 385 nt
Filed under: Gammaproteobacteria bacterium
Lineage: Bacteria; Pseudomonadati; Pseudomonadota; Gammaproteobacteria
Description: bacterial SSU rRNA
Rfam family: Bacterial small subunit ribosomal RNA
Source: RNAcentral